AUGUCAGCCAGCUCACUCACCCAGGAGCCAGCGCCCCCCGCGCCCCCCACCCGAUCCGGCAGCAGGGACUGCAAAGGGAGGUCCUGGGGUCAUUGCUUCAGCCCCCUCCCCAGCACAUACACACACACACACACACACACACACACACACACGCACACACACACUGAGUGGGUGAAAGGGGGGAAGGGGGUCUGCGCCCUGGAAUCCAUGCCCAGAGCCCGGGCAGACCUGGAGGUUCCCACACACACACGGCCCCAGCACCUGUGGGGGUGGGCAGAGGGUGGAAGUCCGUCCUGGCUGCUCCCACGCGGGAGGCUGGCGGGGAAGCGGGCGCGGAAAGCCAGCGCUGCCCUCCUCCGCCAAGGCCAGCCCCUCUCACCCGUGCGUUCCCCCUCCCCGUCAGCGCCCGGGGAAGCAGAGCAAGGAAACGGCUCCUACCUAAUGCCAAGACUGGAAAGGGCUUUCCAGACACGCACCUUUGCCGCCUGGCCACUCCGGGAGCCGGGCUGGAACUGCGGCGCGCGCCCUGCCUGCCCGCCGGGCCGCCUGCGACCGCCCGCCUCGGAGAAGCCAGCCCCGCACGCCCCGAAGCCGCAUUUCAGCGCUCAGCCUCCACCUCCACCUCCGUGCCGAGGCCCGCCUCCAAUGAUAUCAUGUGUCCAUCACGGGGACUGCUCGAAAACCUGGAACAGGAUUUCCUCUGACAGGCAUUUCCUCCGUGGUGUUUACAGAAGUGGACGGGGUGCAGGCAUGCACUUGCACGUUCGUUCUCCCGAGGCAGGCAGCCAGGCUGCCCUACUUGGAGCCCUUCCCCUUCGCUCCGGCUCAAGGGGGUCCGCAGAGCCUUCCGGGGGUAGGGGGAGGGGGCGAAGAGGGAGGAAAGGAGGGAGGGAGGGAGGGAGGGAAGGAAGGAGAGAGACAGAAAGGGAGAGAAGGAGGGAAGGAGAGAGAGACAAAGAUAGAAAGACGAGACAGAGACAAGCUUUCCUAAGCCAAUGGAAACUGCUUGGGAAGGAUCAGAGAAAGUAA
RNAcentral lists this long non-coding RNA (1029 nucleotides) under Phascolarctos cinereus (koala). RNAcentral describes it as "lncRNA (ENSPCIG00000029119.2)". Lineage: Eukaryota; Metazoa; Chordata; Mammalia; Diprotodontia; Phascolarctidae. The record is from RNAcentral.